Molecule: transfer RNA, 68 nt
Filed under: Polypedilum sp.
Lineage: Eukaryota; Metazoa; Arthropoda; Insecta; Diptera; Chironomidae
Description: tRNA-Asp
Source: RNAcentral
AAAAAAUUAGUUAACCCCUAUAACAUUAGUUUGUCAAACUAAAAUUAUUUUUUCAAAAAUAUUUUUUA